GGAAAUAACUCUCAUAUGGAGUCUCCGGAUAGCUUCGGUCAAAAUUAAUCAAAUCAUCCUGAGGAUAUAACGAACAAUUUGGUAAAAUAAAUAUGGUUGCGAAUAUUAAGCGAUAACAAGAAAAACAGUGUUUGGGGAGAUAACUCUUAUAUGAGAAAGUGUUCGGUUAAGCAGGGUCAGUUUCAAAAGCGUAUAAACUGUUCGAUAUGAUAUUCCAAAAAUCUAAGCGACAUCUUGCGAAACAAAAAAACAGCGAAGGAAAAAAAUUAGCCGG
RNAcentral lists this long non-coding RNA (274 nucleotides) under Mytilus galloprovincialis (Mediterranean mussel). The record is from RNAcentral. Lineage: Eukaryota; Metazoa; Mollusca; Bivalvia; Mytilida; Mytilidae.